RNAcentral lists this transfer RNA (65 nucleotides) under Cicadellidae gen. sp. 1 JCX-2018. RNAcentral's name for it is "tRNA-Trp". Lineage: Eukaryota; Metazoa; Arthropoda; Insecta; Hemiptera; Cicadellidae. The record is from RNAcentral.
AAGACUUUAAGUUAUACUAAAAUAAACUAUUAACCUUCAAAGUUAAAAAAAUUUGUUAAGUUUUA